This 373-nucleotide ribosomal RNA is filed under the name uncultured organism. RNAcentral describes it as "partial 16S ribosomal RNA". It matches the Rfam family "Bacterial small subunit ribosomal RNA", at positions 527 to 896 of the family's 1533-position model. The record is from RNAcentral.
GUAGGUGGCAAGCGUUGUCCGGAAUUAUUGGGCGUAAGCGCGCGCAGGCGGUUCUUUAAGUCUGAUGUGAAAGCCCACGGCUCAACCGUGGAGGGUCAUUGGAAACUGGACGAACUUGAGUACAGAAGAGGAAAGCGGAAUUCCACGUGUAGCGGUGAAAUGCGUAGAGAUGUGGAGGAACACCAGUGGCGAAGGCGGCUUUCUGGUCUGUAACUGACGCUGAGGCGCGAAAGCGUGGGGAGCAAACAGGAUUAGAUACCCUGGUAGUCCACGCCGUAAACGAUGAGUGCUAAGUGUUAGGGGGUUUCCGCCCCCCUUAGUGCUGCAGCUAACGCAUUAAGCACUCCGCCCUGGGAGUACGGCCGCAAGGCUG